Ferroplasma sp. Type II is the source of this 73-nucleotide non-coding RNA. The record is from Rfam. Lineage: Archaea; Methanobacteriati; Thermoplasmatota; Thermoplasmata; Thermoplasmatales; Ferroplasmaceae.
GCCAUCGUAGCUCAGCAGGAAGAGUGGCUGAUUCGUAAUCAGCAGGUCGCGAGUUCAAAUCUCGCCGAUGGCU